RNAcentral lists this non-coding RNA (22 nucleotides) under Rattus norvegicus (Norway rat). Lineage: Eukaryota; Metazoa; Chordata; Mammalia; Rodentia; Muridae. The record is from RNAcentral.
CGGAAAAUAAAAAUGGGCGACA